This is a non-coding RNA of Xenorhabdus doucetiae, 120 nucleotides long. Lineage: Bacteria; Pseudomonadati; Pseudomonadota; Gammaproteobacteria; Enterobacterales; Morganellaceae. The record is from Rfam.
AGUUAUCGGCGUAGGGUACAGAGGUAAGAUGUUCUAUCUUUCAGACCUUUUACUUCACGUAAUCGGAUUUAGCUGAAUAUUAGCUGCCCCAGUCAUUUCUUUUGACUGGGGCGUUUUUUU